RNAcentral lists this ribosomal RNA (254 nucleotides) under uncultured bacterium. RNAcentral describes it as "partial 16S ribosomal RNA". It matches the Rfam family "Bacterial small subunit ribosomal RNA", at positions 107 to 354 of the family's 1533-position model. The record is from RNAcentral.
UGAGUAACACGUGAGUGACCUGCCUUUUAGACUGGAACAACUUACCGAAAGGUGAGCUAAUGCCGGAUGAGUUAUAUAAGUGCAUGUUUAUAUAGGAAAAGUUGGGGAGACCUGACGCUGAAAGAUGGACUCGCGUCCCAUUAGCUGGUUGGUAGGGUAAUGGCCUACCAAGGCGACGAUGGGUAGCCGGCCUGAGAGGGUGGCCGGCCACACUGGGACUGAGACACGGCCCAGACUCCUACGGAAGGCAGCAG